GUUAAAGAUGACAAGAAAUCAGAUGCACGAUACUAAGAACAUGGAGCAAAAAUAUUUAAUAACGGCACUGUACAAAUAGGUUGGCUGGUGUUUGAUGGCCUAGAAUAUCAAAGGAUCUCAAAAAAAUAAAAAAACAAAAUAAAAAAUAAAAACCAUCAAAUCAUUGUCACCAUGCAUUAAGUGAAAUCUCAUGGUUCAUUGGCUAACCACAUGCUAAGCUAUAUGCCAAGGGCUUUCCCUUUCCAAGAACUAGCUCUUGAGCUUCUAAAUAAC
Molecule: unclassified non-coding RNA, 273 nt
Filed under: Hevea brasiliensis (rubber tree)
Lineage: Eukaryota; Viridiplantae; Streptophyta; Magnoliopsida; Malpighiales; Euphorbiaceae
Source: RNAcentral